CCCACACUUCCUAGUUUGCGGUGGAUGUGGGAAGUUCACAUCUGUAAGCAUCUGAAACUUCACGGAGAAAGCUAAUUCAUGAGUAUGCUGUAUGAUAAUGAACCCUUCCCCCCUCAAGAUGAAACGUCGGAGAGGUUGAGCACCUUGAUGGAUAAAAUGCACAUCGAUCCCAAGAUUGAAGAGUUUAUGAACUCUUCAGUGGGACGAUACCUGAGUGACCA
This is a long non-coding RNA of Sardina pilchardus (European sardine), 221 nucleotides long. RefSeq lists it as uncharacterized. The transcript has 3 exons. NCBI's taxonomy places the organism in Eukaryota, Metazoa, Chordata, Actinopteri, Clupeiformes, Clupeidae. The record is from RefSeq and is a predicted model, not a curated record.